This is a long non-coding RNA of Nematolebias whitei (Rio pearlfish), 705 nucleotides long. RefSeq lists it as uncharacterized. The record is from RefSeq and is a predicted model, not a curated record. NCBI's taxonomy places the organism in Eukaryota, Metazoa, Chordata, Actinopteri, Cyprinodontiformes, Rivulidae. The transcript is spliced from 2 exons.
CAAAAGUUUGGAGGCACCGCCGGGAUACGCCUGAGAGUUCGUCCGGCCUACGGAGAAUCGGACGAGGCUGAUCACCGGACCUCCGACCCUCCAACUAGGACGUUUUGGGAGCGGGAGGACGUCUGGUUCUCCGGGGGGGGGAUCGACUCCAGCCGUAUUCGAAAACAGGAAACCAGAGACACAUCUACGAUAAGGUAAAUAAAUAAAUAAAAUAAAAAUAAAAAAAAUAAAAAAAAAAGCGCUAGCGACAGACACGACUCCGUCAAAAAGAUCGCUCUCUCAUAAAAUAAGUAAGCUUUCAUUAGGAAAAGCCGAGGUAAGUUCUCAUUAGGAGGACCGAGUGUAAGUUCUGAAAAUUAGAGUAGGAACCGAGGGUAAGUUUUCUCUAGGAAAACCGAGUGUAGGCUCGUCUUGAUAAAGAGGGCUGAGGAAAUAAAAUAGUUUCGUCUUAAAGAUAAAAAUGGGAGCGACAAAAAGUAAGAAUCUAGAUUAUAUACCAAACGGUUCGGUUGCAGAAAAAAUGAAACGCUUAUACGGAGUUUCCUGUCUAAGUUUCGUUUCUCAGUGGCAUUACAAAUUUGGUUUUCCUAAAAAUGGAUCUUUAGAAACCCAAGACAUUCAAAAACUCGAAGAACAAUUAUUGCAGCAAAAGCAGAGCAUGAUUCAGAUGAAGAAUAUACCUCAAAAGGUUUACUUAACGAUGCA